This 506-nucleotide long non-coding RNA is filed under the name Monodelphis domestica (gray short-tailed opossum). RNAcentral describes it as "lncRNA (ENSMODG00000048423.1)". The record is from RNAcentral. Lineage: Eukaryota; Metazoa; Chordata; Mammalia; Didelphimorphia; Didelphidae.
UUGGACUUCACAAUGAAGCUUUUCAUCAGCUUCUUCCUCUUCUCCUUUAUCCUGUGUAUCAAUGCUAAUCAGGAAAAAUGGGAUAAAGAAAUUCAAGGAAAUUUCAGCCAUAUCAUGUCAGGCUUAACGGGACUUUGCUUGAACUAUUGUGAAAUCAUGAAUCACGUAGAAGAAAAUGAAAGUCAUAAUGAUGAUCUUGAGACAUCUAAUCUUGGUGUGGCAGCAGGCCAGAAUGAAUUCUAGAAACAUCACUAAUCCCUAGGAUCUGAUGACUCCAUGAUAAAGAAAGAGAUCUGCAGAUGGGAUUGAAGUGCCAAAUGACUCCAGUCAGUUCAAGCUAUCAAUCAAGACUCCAAAACUUUAAUCUGCCUUUCCUUCUUAUUCCCUCUUCCAUGUAUUCUGUGAGCUCCUUUUGUUAUAAUCCUGUCAUUCCUUUAUGCUAGUUGUGCAGGGUGUUAGAUGCUUGAUAUGUAUGCUCAUAAUAAACUUAAGUAUUGAACUAGACA